UAUUUUACUUAAAAUGAGCCAUCUGCUGUUAGCUAGCUGAUAGCCCGUGCUUUCAUUUGCAGUGUUGGCUUGGCAUUUCAUUACCAUUAUAAAAUAUCAUAUUUAAUCUAAUUGUUAGCCAACACUGGUGCUUAGGGAUGAGCAGGGAAAUAAAGCAUUACUUAUUGUGGAGAUACAUUUUGAUAUCAAUAUAGAGAUUAUUAUUUCAUUUUAAGUGUUUUGUGAGCAUUUUUAAUAAGCACACAAUUUGUUUUCACUCUGGGAUUUAGGAGUUUUACCUGGCCAGGUAGGCCUAAUUGAAAAAUGUUAAAAUCCAGGUGUGUUAUUUCUAAUGAACGACUGCUGCUUUAUUAAACGCAGAUUACAUUUCAUUCACUUUCUGGCAGUUUUGCUCUGGUGUGUCACAGUUGGUCCUGUGACAGUUGGAGGUUGCUUCCUUGUUUUCUUUUCCUGUGGUGUUCUGUGGGCGUGUGUGGGUGUGUCUUUCCCUCGGCAGGGAGCUGGUCGCCCGGCAAGGCUACACACCUGUUGCCAAUCCUCAUCUACACCUGGUCUUAAUGUGUGGGGCUCCCUGAGACUCAUCGCCAGAUUAUUCCUAGCCAUAACUUGUUGCCGAGUCCGGUGUCAUUUGCCCUGCUUGGAGGAUCUCUAGGAGAGCGGAUUGCCCCUGCUCACAUCUCACCCACUACCAUUUUGUCCUUUGUGAAUAAACUCUUUACUUUGA
This is a long non-coding RNA of Micropterus salmoides (largemouth bass), 724 nucleotides long. RefSeq lists it as uncharacterized. The record is from RefSeq and is a predicted model, not a curated record. Lineage: Eukaryota; Metazoa; Chordata; Actinopteri; Centrarchiformes; Centrarchidae. The transcript is spliced from 2 exons.